AAAAGGACAAAUUUUUUUGUUUAUAAAAAUGGAAGUAGCGACUGUUUAAUAAAACAUAAGAUUUUGCAAAAUUUUUUUGAUGAUGUAUAAGAUCUGACAUCUGCCCAGUGCUGCAAGAAAAAAAUUAAUAUUAUAUAUAUUAAUAUAAUUCCCAGUAAACGGCGGCCGUAACCCUGACGGUCCUAAGGUAGCGAAAUUCCUUGGCGGGUAAGUUCCGUCCCGCAUGAAUGAUGUAACGACUGCUUCGCUGUCUCCAAUAUUAUACUUAUGAAUUUAAAUUAAUUGUGAAGAUGCAAUUUUGAUAUAGCUAGACGGAAAGACCCUAUGCACCUUUUACUAUAAACUAUAAUAAAAAUAAGAAAAUAAAAAUAAUAGUUAUGUAGUAAUUUAUAUUAAAAAUAGAAAAACUAACUUUUUAUUUUUUAUUUUUAUUAUUAUAAAAAUUAAUAUUAUAUUAUA
RNAcentral lists this ribosomal RNA (459 nucleotides) under uncultured bacterium. RNAcentral describes it as "partial 23S ribosomal RNA". It matches the Rfam family "Bacterial large subunit ribosomal RNA", at positions 1755 to 2259 of the family's 2925-position model. The record is from RNAcentral.